Molecule: ribosomal RNA, 465 nt
Filed under: uncultured bacterium
Lineage: Bacteria
Description: bacterial SSU rRNA
Rfam family: Bacterial small subunit ribosomal RNA
Source: RNAcentral
CCUANGGGUGGCAUCAGUGGGGAAUAUUGGACAAUGGGCGCAAGCCUGAUCCAGCCAUGCCGCGUGUGUGAAGAAGGCCUUCGGGUUGUAAAGCACUUUUGUUGGGGAAGAAAAGCCAUGGGUUAAUACCCUGUGGUUCUGACGGUACCCAAAGAAUAAGCACCGGCUAACUUCGUGCCAGCAGCCGCGGUAAUACGAAGGGUGCAAGCGUUACUCGGAAUUACUGGGCGUAAAGCGUGCGUAGGUGGUGAGUUAAGUCUGUCGUGAAAGCCCCGGGCUCAACCUGGGAAUGGCGAUGGAUACUGGCUCGCUAGAGUGCGGUAGAGGAGAGUGGAAUUCCCGGUGUAGCAGUGAAAUGCGUAGAGAUCGGGAGGAACAUCAGUUGCGAAGGCGGCUCUCUGGACCAGCACUGACACUGAGGCACGAAAGCGUGGGGAGCAAACAGGAUUAGAUACCCCANUANUC